RNAcentral lists this ribosomal RNA (393 nucleotides) under uncultured bacterium. RNAcentral describes it as "bacterial SSU rRNA". It matches the Rfam family "Bacterial small subunit ribosomal RNA", at positions 28 to 424 of the family's 1533-position model. The record is from RNAcentral.
GACGAACGCUGGCGGCGUGCUUAACACAUGCAAGUCGAGCGGUAAGGCCCUUUCGGGGGUACACGAGCGGCGAACGGGUGAGUAACACGUGGGUGACCUGCCUUUAGCUCUGGGAUAAGCCUGGGUAACUGGGUCUAAUACCGGAUAUGACUCCAUGAUGCAUGUUGUGGGGUGGAAAGCCUUGUGCGGCUGGAGAUGGGCCCGCGGCCUAUCAGCUUGUUGGUGGGGUGANGGCCUACCAAGGCGACGACGGGUAGCCGGCCUGAGAGGGCGACCGGCCACACUGGGACUGAGACACGGCCCAGACUCCUACGGGAGGCAGCAGUGGGGAAUCUUGCGCAAUGGGCGAAAGCCUGACGCAGCGACGCCGCGUGAGGGAUGACGGCCUCGGUU